AUUGAACGCUGGCGGCAGGCCUAACACAUGCAAGUCGAGCGGAUGAAGGGAGCUUGCUCCUGGAUUCAGCGGCGGACGGGUGAGUAAUGCCUAGGAAUCUGCCUGGUAGUGGGGGAUAACGUCCGGAAACGGGCGCUAAUACCGCAUACGUCCUGAGGGUGAAAGUGGGGGUUCUUCGGACCUCACGCUAUCAGAUGAGCCUAGGUCGGAUUAGCUAGUUGGUGGGGUAAAGGCCUACCAAGGCGACGAUCCGUAACUGGUCUGAGAGGAUGAUCAGUCACACUGGAACUGAGACACGGUCCAGACUCCUACGGGAGGCAGCAGUGGGGAAUAUUGGACAAUGGGCGAAAGCCUGAUCCAGCCAUGUCGCGUGUGUGAAGAAGGUCUUCGGAUUGUAAAGCACUUUAAGUUGGGAGGAAGGGCAGUAAGUUAAUACCUUGCUGUUUUGACGUUACCAACAGAAUAAGCACCGGCUAACUUCGUG
Molecule: ribosomal RNA, 484 nt
Filed under: uncultured bacterium
Lineage: Bacteria
Description: partial 16S ribosomal RNA
Rfam family: Bacterial small subunit ribosomal RNA
Source: RNAcentral